UACGAGGGGGGCAAGCGUUGUUCGGAAUUAUUGGGCGUAAAGGGUGCGUAGGCGGUUUGAUAAGUUCUGUGUGAAAUCUAUGGGCUCAACCCAUAGUCUGCACGGAAAACUGUCAGGCUUGAGAAUGGGAGAGGUGAGUGGAAUUUCCGGUGUAGCGGUGAAAUGCGUAGAUAUCGGAAGGAACACCUGUGGUGAAGGCGGUUGUCUGGGGUUUUGCUGACGCUGAGGCACGAAAGCCAGGGGAGCGAACGGG
Molecule: ribosomal RNA, 253 nt
Filed under: uncultured bacterium
Lineage: Bacteria
Description: partial 16S ribosomal RNA
Rfam family: Bacterial small subunit ribosomal RNA
Source: RNAcentral